Molecule: long non-coding RNA, 1922 nt
Organism: Hippopotamus amphibius kiboko
Lineage: Eukaryota; Metazoa; Chordata; Mammalia; Artiodactyla; Hippopotamidae
Exons: 3
Source: RefSeq, a predicted model, not a curated record
UCCUGGAGGAGGACAGAGAGUGGAAACCAUGGCUGAUCCCAAAGGGUUGCCUUUUACAUCCCAAACCCACUUGGUGAUAACAACUGCACCUGACAUUUCCAGAACCCUCUUGUGGGGGAUUUAAAAAUGCCUUGAGGCCAUGGGACUUUAUGUUCAUAAUGAAUUGUCACAUACACGUGUGAAGGUUGUUUUUCUUCAUCUAUUCGCUGUCAAAGUUGUCUCAUUUGUAUUAAUGAGCACCAUUCUUUGCGAGUAGUCCCCGUGAGUCUUUGAAAACCAUUUUACCCAGAGAGCCUCACCUGAGAAGUUCACCUCCUGCUGGCUUUGUGUUCAUCCAGAGCACCUGCUUCAGGGCUGCUCCCAGGAUGGCAGCCCCCUACACGCUGCUGGUCCUCACCCUGGAUCUAGGCUCCAUCGAGGGAAGGGGCACGGUGCCUUCAGCCCAAAGACGUCAUGGAGACUAUGGGAUCCUCCUGCAGACGAGAGAAGCAAAGGGACAUCCUGAGAGCAUCUCCAAAUGGUCAACCAAAUACAAACAAGAAGGCAUGGAAUCCCUGAGUCUAGACAUCAGCCUUCACUAUAGUCACCUCAUGUGCUCCUUUAGCAAGUUAUCACCAAAAAGUAUCCUGCUUCACCACUUUGAGAAGCUUUAUAAACUGAGCCUGAAAUGCCACAUAAGAGACAUACUGCCUAUGCCAUUCCUGUGCCCUCAGAUGAGGGCAGAUGCGCUCUUAAAUUGAUCGAGGUAAAAGGAACGUUGUAUGUAAUAUAUGCAGAAACGCUGAUACACCCAUUUUCUGACCUCAUGUUGUAUUGGAUUUUGUGGUUUAGCCUCCACUUCUGAACGCAUGAGAAGUGAGCACGGAUAAAGGUGGGCACUAGGUUCUCUGUGGAGCCCCCUGCCCCUCACAAUAAAUAGCUCCCCUAGGUGAUUCCCGAAGGCAGCCGCGUGUUUGGAAAUUCCUCCCCUUUACCUGGCAGGUAGCCUGAGAUGGGCUCAAGCUGUCCAGGAGUAGCUUUGCAGGGUAAGCCGCCACUGGACACGCACCACACCCUGAAGCCUGGCUAUAAGGGAAGGGGACUGAGGGGAGGCAAAGAGGAGCCACCAAGAUCCUGGGUCCGGGGCUGGAGGAGGGGAGGCUGAGAAGCAGGAGAGAUACCCAGCGCUGGGGCCCGGGGCGUGGGGCCUGUGCCGGGUGGUGCCCUGGCCCGUUUCGUUAAAUGUGAGGGAGAGGCACAGAGUACACUGGCCCAGUCGUUUCUCUUGGCUCCUGGAGGAUUAUAAAGGCCUUUGCCAGCUAUAAUAAGUAAAGUAAGUGGGCUGAAUGUUGAACAUUGAAUAAAAUUAAGAAAGAUAAAGAUGGAAAGUAUAAAGAGAAAGGAGGGUUUGCAUGGCGUUGUCAGUCCCAGCUGCCUGCAACUCCCUCCUUCCAAAGCCUUCACCUCUAGGACUCACCUCCACCUGCAGUUUUCCUCUCCACUGGGACUCUCUCUGCCCUCCCUCAAGGGGGAACUUGCUGCUCUCUUGCUCUCCUGGCUUUGGAAGCUCCCCUUAAAUUCAUCCAAGGAAACACAUCUAAGAUUACAGAAGAGAAUAUUCCAGGCACAGAUACAGCUCAGCCUAGGAUACUGUACAUCUGGGUGCACAUGGGCCAAACUGACAGAGCUUCUUGGGCAGUUUCUUUUCUCCAACUCUGUACAAAACCAGGAGACCCAGCCGAAAAGGCCUCCUUUUUGGUCCUUAGGUGUUGCCCUGUUCACAUCCCACCUGCCUUCCCCUUUUAUCCCUUCCCUCCCAGUGCCACUCCUGGCACUCUCAUCCAUCCCCAGCAGUUACAGAGAGAGCUGGGGCCGCCUCUCCGGACAGGGAAUGGAGACUCCUUGUGCAAGUGAAGGACAUUAAUCCAAAGGACACGUCGAGA